GCGGGAGUGGCGCAAACGGCAGACGCGCCGUCUUCAGAAGGCGGAGGUUGUGAGUUCGAGUCUCACCUCCCGCACCA
Molecule: transfer RNA, 77 nt
Filed under: Acidobacteriota bacterium
Lineage: Bacteria; Pseudomonadati; Acidobacteriota
Also listed under: 2 other names
Description: tRNA-Leu
Rfam family: tRNA
About the family: Transfer RNA (tRNA) molecules are approximately 80 nucleotides in length. Their secondary structure includes four short double-helical elements and three loops (D, anti-codon, and T loops). Further hydrogen bonds mediate the characteristic L-shaped molecular structure. tRNAs have two regions of fundamental functional importance: the anti-codon, which is responsible for specific mRNA codon recognition, and the 3' end, to which the tRNAs corresponding amino acid is attached (by aminoacyl-tRNA synthetases). tRNAs cope with the degeneracy of the genetic code in two manners: having more than one tRNA (with a specific anti-codon) for a particular amino acid; and 'wobble' base-pairing, i.e. permitting non-standard base-pairing at the 3rd anti-codon position.
Source: RNAcentral